RNAcentral lists this unclassified non-coding RNA (1806 nucleotides) under Hevea brasiliensis (rubber tree). Lineage: Eukaryota; Viridiplantae; Streptophyta; Magnoliopsida; Malpighiales; Euphorbiaceae. The record is from RNAcentral.
GAAAAGCCAAAAUCUUGCUCGUCAAGCCCUAUAUUUUUUCUUGAAAUAGCAAAAAAAAAUGGGUUGAGGUAACAGGAACUUGAAGAAGAAGAAAAAGGGUGUUGAUUCGUGUUGUUGUUGAAGAAAAAGAAGCAAAAAUGGUGGUAAGGAAAGUUGGUAAGUAUGAAGUUGGAAGGACAAUUGGAGAAGGAACAUUUGCUAAGGUUAAAUUUGCUCAGAAUACUGAGACAGGUGAAAGUGUCGCCAUGAAAGUCCUCGAUCGAAGCACUAUCAUCAAGCACAAGAUGGUUGACCAGAUAAAGCAGGAGAUAUCCAUAAUGAAGCUUGUUAGACAUCCAUAUGUAGUUCGAUUACAUGAGGUUAUAGCAACUCGCACGAAGAUCUAUAUUAUCUUGGAAUUUAUCACAGGCGGGGAACUUUUUGAUAAGAUAGUCCACCAUGGACGAUUAAGUGAGGCCGAGUCUCGAAGAUACUUUCAACAAUUGAUUGAUGGAGUUGAUUAUUGUCACAUCAAGGGAGUUUAUCACAGAGACCUAAAGCCUGAAAAUCUUCUGCUAGAUUCCCAAGCAAAUCUGAAAAUAUCAGAUUUUGGACUUAGUGCAUCACCUGGCGAAGGAGUCAACAUUCUUAAGACUACAUGUGGAACUCCCAACUAUGUUGCACCAGAGGUUCUUAGUCACAAAGGUUAUGAUGGUGCUGUGGCUGAUAUCUGGUCCUGUGGUGUCAUCCUUUAUGUUCUGAUGGCAGGUUAUCUCCCUUUUGAUGAGGUUGAUCUCACUACACUGUACGCAAAGAUUGACAAAGCAGAUUUUUCCUGCCCAUCUUGGUUUCCUGUUGGAGCAAAAUCUCUGAUACAUCGAAUUUUAGACCCAAAUCCUCAAACUCGUAUUCGGAUUGAAGAGAUCCGUAAUGAUGAGUGGUUUAAAAAAAAUUAUGAUCCUGUCAAAGUCAUGGAGUAUGAAGAUGUCAAUUUAGAUGAUAUUAAUGCAGCUUUUGAUGAUACUGAGGAGGAAGCAUCCAACGAGCAAUGUGACAAUGCGGAUGCUGGGCCUCUGGCUUUAAAUGCCUUUGACCUAAUUAUUCUCUCUCAAGGAUUGAACUUAUCCAUAUUGUUUGACCGUGGGCAGGACUCAAUGAAGCAUCAUCAAACACGCUUCCUAACACAGAAACCAGCAAAAGUUGUUUUAUCAAGUAUGGAAGUUGUGGCCCAGUCCAUGGGUUUCAAGACCCAUAUCCGCAAUUUUAAGAUGAGGGUAGAAGGUCUCUCCACAAACAAGACUUCACAUUUCUCUGUAAUACUGGAGGUUUUCGAAGUUGCUCCUACAUUUUUCAUGGUAGACGUUCAGAAAGCAGCCGGUGAUGCUAGUGAAUUCCUCAAGUUUUACAAGAACUUUUGUGGCAAUCUUGAGGACAUUAUCUGGAGGCCACCGGAUGAAUCAUGCAAAUCAAAAGUUACAAAAGCAAGGAGUAGAAAGAGAUGAUAUUUUAGCAUUAGAGAGUCUGUGUGUACUUUGUGUUUGUAUAAAAGAUUACAGUUUCUUGAACCCAAUAGGCAGUGAGUACACUCUUUUAUAGUCGAGCCAAGUGAGGGGUAAUGUUUCCGCGCUUUCCCCAGGUUUUAUAUCAGUUAUAUCAAUGUGGUGAUGACAGUUAUCAUCUUAGAGCAGAGAGUAAAACAUAACAAAUACUUGCUAUUUCUAGAGAAGAGUGAUUAUAUUUUUACCAGCUUCAGUGAAACAUUUCCAAUUUUCUUGUUUCAUCAAUUUCAUAUUAACAGCAAAGGCAAUUGUUGUUAAAUCCAUGAUC